GCGAGUGAGCGGCAAAGCUCAAAUUUGAAAUCUAGCACCUUCGGUGUUUGAGUUGUAAUUUGAAGAUGGUAACCUUGGGUUUGGCUCUUGUCUAUGUUCCUUGGAACAGGACGUCAUAGAGGGUGAGAAUCCCGUCUGAUGAGAUGCCCAUUCCUAUGUAAGGUGCUAUCGAAGAGUCGAGUUGUUUGGGAAUGCAGCUCUAAGUGGGUGGUAAAUUCCAUCUAAAGCUAAAUAUUGGCGAGAGACCGAUAGCGAACAAGUACAGUGAUGGAAAGAUGAAAAGAACUUUGAAAAGAGAGUGAAAAAGUACGUGAAAUUGUUGAAAGGGAAGGGCAUUAGAUCAGACUUGGUGUUUUACGAUUAUCUUCUCUUCUUGAGUUGUGCACUCGUAUUUCACUGGGCCAGCAUCGAUUCGGAUGGCAAGAUAAUGGCAGUUGAAUGUGGCUUCACUUCGGUGGAGUGUUAUAGCUUCUGCUGAUAUUGCCUGUCUGGAUCGAGGGCUGCGUCUUUUGACUAGGAUGCUGGCGUAAUGAUCUAAUGCCGCCCG
RNAcentral lists this ribosomal RNA (547 nucleotides) under Hansenula anomala. RNAcentral describes it as "Wickerhamomyces anomalus partial 26S ribosomal RNA". It matches the Rfam family "Eukaryotic large subunit ribosomal RNA", at positions 89 to 651 of the family's 3401-position model. Lineage: Eukaryota; Fungi; Ascomycota; Saccharomycetes; Phaffomycetales; Wickerhamomycetaceae. The record is from RNAcentral.